This 315-nucleotide ribosomal RNA is filed under the name uncultured eukaryote. RNAcentral's name for it is "partial 18S ribosomal RNA". It matches the Rfam family "Eukaryotic small subunit ribosomal RNA", at positions 1470 to 1796 of the family's 1831-position model. The record is from RNAcentral.
CCCUUAGAUGUCCUGGGCUGCACGCGCGCUACACUGACGCACGCAACAGGUGCCUGCUCCGAGAGGACUGGGUAAUCAUUUGAGCGUGCGUCGUGAUGGGGAUAGAAUAUUGUAAUUAUUACUCUUCAACGAGGAAUUCCUAGUAAGCGCCAGUCAGCAGCUUGCGCUGAUUACGUCCCUGCCCUUUGUACACACCGCCCGUCGCUCCUACCGAUGGGUGAUCCGGUGAAUGAUUCGGACUUCAGCGGCUCCCCUGGGGUGCGCCGGAGAAAGUUUUGUGAACCUUAUCACUUGGAGGAAGGAGAAGUCGUAACA